GGAAGAGGUAAAGGGCAGAUGAGCCUGAGGUCAAGUAAGAUCUCCACCACCAUAAGUAAUCUUCGCUGCACAACUGGAAGUAGCAGAGGACAAUUGUAAUUUCGGCGCAAGUGAUGAGGAGGAUAAUGAAAACCAAGAAGAGAAAACCAAAAAUGUAGUAGAACUGAUUCAGCCAAAUUGAGGUAAGGAUGAAGAAGAGUUCAAUGAAA
This 209-nucleotide unclassified non-coding RNA is filed under the name Hevea brasiliensis (rubber tree). Lineage: Eukaryota; Viridiplantae; Streptophyta; Magnoliopsida; Malpighiales; Euphorbiaceae. The record is from RNAcentral.